RNAcentral lists this ribosomal RNA (253 nucleotides) under uncultured bacterium. RNAcentral's name for it is "partial 16S ribosomal RNA". It matches the Rfam family "Bacterial small subunit ribosomal RNA", at positions 524 to 776 of the family's 1533-position model. The record is from RNAcentral.
GACAGAGGGUGCAAACGUUGCUCGGAAUCACUGGGCGUAAAGGGCGUGUAGGCGGGAAUGUAAGUCGGGCGUGAAAUCCCUAGGCUCAACCUAGGAACUGCACUCGAAACUGCGUUUCUUGAGUAUCGGAGAGGAAAGCGGAAUACCUGGUGUAGAGGUGAAAUUCGUAGAUAUCAGGUGGAACACCAGUGGCGAAGGCGGCUUUCUGGACGAUUACUGACGCUGAGACGCGAAAGCGUGGGGAGCAAACAGG